Molecule: long non-coding RNA, 224 nt
Filed under: Ananas comosus (pineapple)
Lineage: Eukaryota; Viridiplantae; Streptophyta; Magnoliopsida; Poales; Bromeliaceae
Description: long non-coding RNA (ACOM_LNC005403)
Source: RNAcentral
UGUGUCGCUGCUAAAAGUUAGAUAAUUAGCGGCGACAUAUCGUCGCCGCGAAAAGUUAGAUAAUUAGCGGCGACAUACCGUCGCCGCUAAAGUUAGAUAAUUAGCGGCGACAUUCCGUCGCCGCUAAAGUUAGAUAAUUAGCGGCGACAUUUCGUCGCCGUGAAAAGUUAGAUAAUUAACCAGUAAACCUAGAUCGGAAUAUUUGGUGGCGACAAUUUGUCGCC